Molecule: ribosomal RNA, 1497 nt
Filed under: Leuconostoc citreum
Lineage: Bacteria; Bacillati; Bacillota; Bacilli; Lactobacillales; Lactobacillaceae
Description: 16S ribosomal RNA
Rfam family: Bacterial small subunit ribosomal RNA
Source: RNAcentral
ACAUGCAAGUCGAACGCGCAGCAGAGAGGUGCUUGCACCUUUCAAGCGAGUGGCGAACGGGUGAGUAACACGUGGAUAACCUGCCUCAAGGCUGGGGAUAACAUUUGGAAACAGAUGCUAAUACCGAAUAAAACUUAGUAUCGCAUGAUAUCAAGUUAAAAGGCGCUACGGCGUCACCUAGAGAUGGAUCCGCGGUGCAUUAGUUAGUUGGUGGGGUAAAGGCUUACCAAGACAAUGAUGCAUAGCCGAGUUGAGAGACUGAUCGGCCACAUUGGGACUGAGACACGGCCCAAACUCCUACGGGAGGCUGCAGUAGGGAAUCUUCCACAAUGGGCGCAAGCCUGAUGGAGCAACGCCGCGUGUGUGAUGAAGGCUUUCGGGUCGUAAAGCACUGUUGUAUGGGAAGAAAUGCUAAAAUAGGGAAUGAUUUUAGUUUGACGGUACCAUACCAGAAAGGGACGGCUAAAUACGUGCCAGCAGCCGCGGUAAUACGUAUGUCCCGAGCGUUAUCCGGAUUUAUUGGGCGUAAAGCGAGCGCAGACGGUUGAUUAAGUCUGAUGUGAAAGCCCGGAGCUCAACUCCGGAAUGGCAUUGGAAACUGGUUAACUUGAGUGUUGUAGAGGUAAGUGGAACUCCAUGUGUAGCGGUGGAAUGCGUAAUAUAUGGAAGAACACCAGUGGCGAAGGCGGGCUUACUGGACAACCAACUGACGUUGAGGCUCGAAAGUGUGGGUAGCAAACAGGAUUAGAUACCUUGGUAGUCCACACGUAACGAUGAAUACUAGGUGUUAGGAGGUUUCCGCCUCUUAGUGCCGAAGCUAACGCAUUAAGUAUUCCGCCUGGGGAGUACGACCGCAAGGUUGAAACUCAAAGGAAUUGACGGGGACCCGCACAAGCGGUGGAGCAUGUGGUGUAAUUCGAAGCAACGCGAAGAACCUUACCAGGUCUUGACAUCCUUUGAAGCUUUUAGAGAUAGAAGUGUUCUCUUCGGAGACAAAGUGACAGGUGGUGCAUGGUCGUCGUCAGCUCGUGUCGUGAGAUGUUGGGUUAAGUCCCGCAACGAGCGCAACCCUUAUUGUUAGUUGCCAGCAUUCAGUUGGGCACUCUAGCGAGACUGCCGGUGACAAACCGGAGGAAGGCGGGGACGACGUCAGAUCAUCAUGCCCCUUAUGACCUGGGCUACACACGUGCUACAAUGGCGUAUACAACGAGUUGCCAACCUGCGAAGGUGAGCUAAUCUCUUAAAGUACGUCUCAGUUCGGACUGCAGUCUGCAACUCGACUGCACGAAGUCGGAAUCGCUAGUAAUCGCGGAUCAGCACGCCGCGGUGAAUACGUUCCCGGGUCUUGUACACACCGCCCGUCACACCAUGGGAGUUUGUAAUGCCCAAAGCCGGUGGCCUAACCUUCGGGAGGGAGCCGUCUAAGGCAGGACAGAUGACUGGGGUGAAGUCGUAACAAGGUAGCCGUAGGAGAACCUGCGGUUGGAUACCCUCCUU